Molecule: non-coding RNA, 1188 nt
Organism: Pelobates cultripes (western spadefoot toad)
Lineage: Eukaryota; Metazoa; Chordata; Amphibia; Anura; Pelobatidae
Source: the annotation of a GenBank genome assembly
CUGAGGGUGACCCCCUCCCCUGCUGGCCUAAACUGCAUGGUAUGCUUGUGCUUGUUGGGUGACCCCCUCUUGCACGCUGGGUGACCCCCAGCUGGCCGCACCACUGUACCUACAGUGUCCGAUUAUGUUCAGACUGAGGGUGACCCCCUCCCCUGCUGGCCUAUACUGCAUGGUAUGCAUGGUAUGCUUGUGCUUGUUGGGUGACCCCCUCUUGCACACUGGGUGACCCCCAGCUGGCCGCACCAGGUAUCAUUUGUGCAAUCACGGCUGAAGGACAGGACACCACAAACACCUGACACGGGGUUUGCACUCUAUCUGGGACUAACCAGUGGGUGUCGGUGACACGCGGAAACAGAUGUUUCCUUGGGACGAACGGCACGUUACCGCUUGGAAAGCGGAGAAGACUAAAUUCCCACUGGGAACGGACCGAUAUGACUUAUAGGUAUCGCCUAGUUGGUUUCUAUCCCUGAGAACCGCAAAACGGCCCCUGUCCAAGCUGGACAUCAAACUGAUGGAUUUAGCAUCCAAGUGCUGGGUCUGCUCUCCGGAGUUACCCUCGUCUACAAAUUGAGCCGACAUGUCUCUAUUCAUAGGGUUCCCCCUUAACUAGCCCAGAGGUCUCUCUGGCCGUGCCCGGACUCCAGAUCAAGGUUGCGGAACCUUGGACCGUUCCAUGAGCGAUACGCAUGACCAAAAGAGGCAUCCAUUCCGACUCAUUCCGCAGUUGCCCUGCUGGGCAAAGGGUGCGGUGGAGUGGACUCCCGCCCCAUCCCCACGCUACAUGCUCCCAGUGCAUGUCGUCUGUUGACACAUUUUGAGACGGAGGGCACUCAUCCCCUCUGAGAGCUGCUCGGCGUUGACGAUUGGUUCUCUCCCUCAAAUGCACAUGAGAGAAACCCGCAUGGAUUUUGCCAUCUACAUGGACAUAUUGAAUCUGACUCACUCCAAGUCAACCCAGUUUCCGGUCUUUCAUGGAAUAUUCGGUCCAGGCGGUGCUCCGCCUCCCGAGGACCAAGAUGUCUGUCUUCAAGGAAAAUACCAGGUAUAUGCUUCGCAACCUGCGGGUUACACUUAGGGGCCCAACCCGGUUAAUUGACCGGUGCCUAUUCGCCAUGGAAGCCAUACCUCAAGGAUCCGGUACUAUCAGCCGCUCCAACAUGGCGCUUUCUCGGGUCUUUGGCCUGGUAU